This 432-nucleotide ribosomal RNA is filed under the name uncultured bacterium. RNAcentral describes it as "partial 16S ribosomal RNA". It matches the Rfam family "Bacterial small subunit ribosomal RNA", at positions 29 to 506 of the family's 1533-position model. The record is from RNAcentral.
AACGAACGCUGGCGGCAUGCCUAACACAUGCAAGUCGAACGAGACCUUCGGGUCUAGUGGCGCACGGGUGCGUAACGCGUGGGAACCUGCCCUUAGGUUCGGAAUAACUCCCCGAAAGGGGUGCUAAUACCGGAUAAUGUCUUCGGACCAAAGAUUUAUCGCCUUUGGAUGGGCCCGCGUUGGAUUAGCUAGUUGGUAGGGUAAAAGCCUACCAAGGCGACGAUCCAUAGCUGGUCUGAGAGGAUGAUCAGCCACACUGGGACUGAGACACGGCCCAGACUCUUGCGGAAGGGAGCAGGGGGGAAUAUGGAACAAGGGGCGAAAGCCGAACCCAGCAAUGCCGGGUGAGUGAUGAAGGCUUUAGGGUUAAAAAGCUCUUUUACCCGGGAUGAUAAUGGCUGAACCGGGAAAAAAAGCCCCGGCAAACUCCGU